UAGUAACUGCGAGUGAAGCGGGAAAAGCUCAAAUUUAAAAUCUGGUGGUCUUUUGCCCAUCCGAGUUGUAAUUUAGAGAAGCGUCUUCCGCGCUGGACCGUACACAAGUCUCCUGGAACGGAGCGUCAUAGAGGGUGAGAAUCCCGUCUUUGGUACGGACCCCCAGGGCUUCUGUGAUGCGCUCUCGAAGAGUCGAGUUGUUUGGGAAUGCAGCUCAAAAUGGGUGGUGAACUCCAUCUAAAGCUAAAUAUUGGCGAGAGACCGAUAGCGAACAAGUACCGUGAGGGAAAGAUGAAAAGCACUUUGGAAAGAGAGUGAAACAGUACGUGAAAUUGUUGAAAGGGAAACGCUUAAAGUCAGUCGCGUCGACCGAGACUCAGCCUUGCCUCUGGCUUGGUGUAUUUCUCGGCCCGACGGGUCAGCGUCAAUUUGGUCCCUCGGAUAAUGGCAAGGGAAAGGUGGCACCUUUGCGGGUGUGUUAUAGUCUUUUGUCGCAUGCGAGGGGUGAGAUUGAGGAACUCAGCACGCGCGCCCUUCUGGGUGUGUCGGGGCCUCGGCCCACGCCACGUGCUUAGGAUGCUGGCGUAAUGGCUUUAAACGACCCGUCUUGAAACACGGACCAAGGAGUCUAACAUGCCCGCGAGUGUUCGGGUGGAAAAACCCGUGCGCGUAAUGAAAGUGAAAAGUUUGGGACCUUCGUCGUGAAGGGCACCGACGCCCGGACCAUACU
This 730-nucleotide ribosomal RNA is filed under the name Russula sp. RNAcentral's name for it is "partial large subunit ribosomal RNA". It matches the Rfam family "Eukaryotic large subunit ribosomal RNA", at positions 81 to 776 of the family's 3401-position model. Lineage: Eukaryota; Fungi; Basidiomycota; Agaricomycetes; Russulales; Russulaceae. The record is from RNAcentral.